ACGAACGCUGGCGGCGUGCCUAAUACAUGCAAGUAGCACGCUGAAGGAGGAGCUUGCUCUUCUGGAUGAGUUGCGAACGGGUGAGUAACGCGUAGGUAACCUGCCUGGUAGCGGGGGAUAACUAUUGGAAACGAUAGCUAAUACCGCAUAACAGUAGAUGUUGCAUGACAUUUGCUUAAAAGGUGCAAUUGCACCACUACCAGAUGGACCUGCGUUGUAUUAGCUAGUUGGUGGGGUAACGGCUCACCAAGGCGACGAUACAUAGCCGACCUGAGAGGGUGAUCGGCCACACUGGGACUGAGACACGGCCCAGACUCCUACGGGAGGCAGCAGUAGGGAAUCUUCGGCAAUGGACGGAAGUCUGACCGAGCAACGCCGCGUGAGUGAAGAAGGUUUUCGGAUCGUAAAGCUCUGUUGUAAGAGAAGAACGAGUGUGAGAGUGGAAAGUUCACACUGUGACGGUAUCUUACCAGAAAGAGACGGCUAACUACGUG
This 494-nucleotide ribosomal RNA is filed under the name uncultured bacterium. RNAcentral describes it as "partial 16S ribosomal RNA". It matches the Rfam family "Bacterial small subunit ribosomal RNA", at positions 29 to 507 of the family's 1533-position model. The record is from RNAcentral.